This 690-nucleotide long non-coding RNA is filed under the name Sorghum bicolor (sorghum). RNAcentral's name for it is "long non-coding RNA (SBIC_LNC011989)". The record is from RNAcentral. Lineage: Eukaryota; Viridiplantae; Streptophyta; Magnoliopsida; Poales; Poaceae.
UACUAUAUCCUUUUCAUUGCUAUUCAUCUUCACCUUGAUGCUUAUUUUAAAGACUUGUUCUCAUCCCCACUCCUUGCUUGAUAUACUUUUAGAACCUUGUCUUACCACUUUCUGGCGUCAUUGAAAUAGGAGUUUUAGGAUCUUUGCCCUUAAUAGGAAGAGAACGUUAGUACCGCAAGUUGAGUCAAUGCUUGAAGUGUGAACUUUUGAGGCUUGAUUUGGAUUUUUGUAAUGAGUGCUGGAACCUUGUUGGCAUAUCCACAAGUUCCCUAGUUAAGAACCUUAAGUAAGAACAUGAAUAAAUAGUGGUUUGGGGUCAUAUCCUGUUUCUGUCCUUUGCUGUUUGCUGGAGUAGUCUGCAAUGAUUCUGGUAUAAAUCAAACUCUGUUCGUCCAAUGUUUGUCAAAUUUUUAUGGGAACAAGUAGACUACUAUAUCUUUCCAAUGCCGCAAGAAUGACAUUAUUAUCUACUAUGAACUGUGAGUUAUAGCUGUUUAAAGUUGAAGUUUCUGCGCAGUCUGGAAUUCUGGAACAGUUUCGGUUGUACCCAGUUUUUGAUUAACCUAACUUUGGAAUCUGUUAAUAUGACCUGAACGAAAGUUGUAGAUAAUUUCUUUAUAUUUCCAACGGUUUAUAGCAUGUAUCCUUUUGAAUUCUGGAACUCAAGAUAGGAAUGAUUUUCUGAUCUGC